CAAAAUUUUCCUAAACAAAUAAUAAACUAAAUUCGUUUUCUACCACUAGUAUGAAUAACUGAGUUACAAGUAUAGUUUUGGUUUACAUCAGGAUAUCUCAUUGGUUUGUUGGUUUCGUUAGAAAGAUAGUUGGCGAUCUAGAUUAGAAUUUAGAAUGGAACGUAUGAUCCGGUGUGUCUUUGAGAAACUUUCAAGUCGAGUACAAUUAAAAGCUAACGAUUUAAGGUUAAAGAGAACUGCAACUAGUGCAUAGACGUAAAAUACAUAUAGAACACAAUACAAAACAUGUGAAUCGCAAAAGUCUACACUGAACUCUUUCCAUUAAGAAGUAAGAUUCAUAAAUAUAAUGCAGAUUCCAAACAAUAGAGCCAUGCUCAAAAUUAGGACGAACCAUCACGCAGUAGAGUAUUUUCGGUAAAAUUUGAAGUCUUAAAUCAGAAGCUGUCCUUAUUACAAAACCAAGUGUUUUAAAUAUAAUAUUAGACAUUAACCACUCCCGUCCAAAUUUGUCUUCUCACUAUUGGAGUUUUCCAAACAAA
Long non-coding RNA from Aphis gossypii (cotton aphid), 539 nucleotides. RefSeq lists it as uncharacterized. The record is from RefSeq and is a predicted model, not a curated record. The transcript has 3 exons. NCBI's taxonomy places the organism in Eukaryota, Metazoa, Arthropoda, Insecta, Hemiptera, Aphididae.